GAGACAGCGCAACAUUUCGGGACCAUUUCGGACAGUUUUCAGCCUGUUCCCUUGGAGUUGCUGGGCCCUGCAGACCACUGUAGGUCUCACAACCCGUGGUGUCAGGGGUUUUCUUUCCAUUGACGAAUAAAUUGGAGGUGAUUAUUUGACGACCUGUGUUACAAGUUGAUCCAAUCCAUCCCUUACCGGGAGACCCGCCCCCCUCCGGAUCGUCAGGGUCCGCCCCCAGCGGGCGCGCAAGCGCUGCCGCUACAAGUUCUUGGCGUCGUAGACAGGAUUGGAUGAAUGUGGAGCUUGAUGUUACUGUACCCCAGAUACCGUCGUGUGAUGAGGGACGAGACUGCUUUU
Long non-coding RNA from Acanthaster planci (crown-of-thorns starfish), 348 nucleotides. RefSeq lists it as uncharacterized. Lineage: Eukaryota; Metazoa; Echinodermata; Asteroidea; Valvatida; Acanthasteridae. The record is from RefSeq and is a predicted model, not a curated record.